GGCUACAACAUAGCAUUAAUUCACCAUAUCCCAUUAGAACUUUGUAGUUAAGCACACUCAAUAUGGAGUAGUACUGGGAUGGGUGACCCACAUGCAUCAUGGGGAUUGUUCUCC
Non-coding RNA from Picea glauca (white spruce), 114 nucleotides. Lineage: Eukaryota; Viridiplantae; Streptophyta; Pinopsida; Pinales; Pinaceae. The record is from Rfam.